UCUGUGGUAGACAACUGGUGGGCUUCUAAGGGAUGCUGCCCUCUGUCUAUCCAUCUGCUGUGGCUAACACUGACUAGAUCAGGCCCCGGUGCAGGCUCCUAACCAAAGCAAUGAGAAGACGACCACUCCUGAGAGGAAAAGAGGAUCCGAGCCUGUGGCUGUCCCUUCAGGAGUCGCAAUGAUGAACCACUGUUUCACUUCCCUCAGAGGCCACCUGGCAAAUCCCGUGCCAGGAGAUGGAAGAGGAACUGAGAAAUUUAAAAAAUAAAACAAAACAAAACAAGACUGGAGACAUUCUGAAGCCUAAGCCAAAUUCAAGAAGUGGACAAGAACUGAACAAGAGAGAUUGGAGGAGGGAAGAGGAAUCAUCAUUCAGCCGGUACAAAAAUGAGCAUGGAUUAAGCAUAUAGGACCAAGAAUCCACAGAACUAAGUGAGAAAAAUUAAAAGAAAAGAAGAAGGAGGAGGAGGAGUGAA
Molecule: long non-coding RNA, 476 nt
Organism: Mustela erminea (ermine)
Lineage: Eukaryota; Metazoa; Chordata; Mammalia; Carnivora; Mustelidae
Exons: 3
Source: RefSeq, a predicted model, not a curated record